GGCAUUCGCUAGGGGUGUUGAGGACCGUGAGGUCUUCGACUGAGAAAGUCCCUUUGAACCUGAUUGAGGUAAUCCUCGCGCAGGGAAGCUAGUCCAAAGAACG
Molecule: non-coding RNA, 103 nt
Filed under: Limnohabitans planktonicus
Lineage: Bacteria; Pseudomonadati; Pseudomonadota; Betaproteobacteria; Burkholderiales; Comamonadaceae
Description: TPP sequence
Rfam family: TPP riboswitch aptamer (THI element)
About the family: Vitamin B(1) in its active form thiamin pyrophosphate (TPP) is an essential coenzyme that is synthesised by coupling of pyrimidine and thiazole moieties in bacteria.
Source: RNAcentral